UUAAGUUAUUAAGGGCGCACGGUGGAUGCCUUGGCACUAGAAGCCGAUGAAGGACGUUACUAACGACGAUAUGCUUUGGGGAGCUGUAAGUAAGCUUUGAUCCAGAGAUUUCCGAAUGGGGAAACCCAGCAUGAGUUAUGUCAUGUUAUCGAUAUGUGAAUACAUAGCAUAUCAGAAGGCACACCCGGAGAACUGAAACAUCUUAGUACCCGGAGGAAGAGAAAGAAAAUUCGAUUCCCUUAGUAGCGGCGAGCGAAACGGGAAGAGCCCAAACCAACAAGCUUGCUUGUUGGGGUUGUAGGACACUCUNUACGGAGUUACAAAGGACGACAUUAGACGAAUCAUCUGGAAAGAUGAAUCAAAGAAGGUAAUAAUCCUGUAGUCGAAAAUGUUGUCUCUCUUGAGUGGAUCCUGAGUACGACGGAGCACGUGAAAUUCCGUCGGAAUCUGGGAGGACCAUCUCCUAAGGCUAAAUACUCUCUAGUGACCGAUAGUGAACCAGUACCGUGAGGGAAAGGUGAAAAGCACCCCGGAAGGGGAGUGAAAUAGAACCUGAAACCGUGUGCUUACAAGUAGUCAGAGCCCGUUAAUGGGUGAUGGCGUGCCUUUUGUAGAAUGAACCGGCGAGUUACGAUUUGAUGCAAGGUUAAGCAGUAAAUGUGGAGCCGUAGCGAAAGCGAGUCUGAAUAGGGCGUUUAGUAUUUGGUCGUAGACCCGAAACCAGGUGAUCUACCCUUGGUCAGGUUGAAGUUCAGGUAACACUGAAUGGAGGACCGAACCGACUUACGUUGAAAAGUGAGCGGAUGAACUGAGGGUAGCGGAGAAAUUCCAAUCGAACCUGGAGAUAGCUGGUUCUCUCCGAAAUAGCUUUAGGGCUAGCCUCAAGUGAUGAUUAUUGGAGGUAGAGCACUGUUUGGACGAGGGGCCCCUCUCGGGUUACCGAAUUCAGACAAACUCCGAAUGCCAAUUAAUUUAACUUGGGAGUCAGAACAUGGGUGAUAAGGUCCGUGUUCGAAAGGGAAACAGCCCAGACCACCAGCUAAGGUCCCAAAAUAUAUGUUAAGUGGAAAAGGAUGUGGCGUUGCCCAGACAACUAGGAUGUUGGCUUAGAAGCAGCCAUCAUUUAAAGAGUGCGUAAUAGCUCACUAGUCGAGUGACACUGCGCCGAAAAUGUACCGGGGCUAAACAUAUUACCGAAGCUGUGGAUUGUCCUUUGGACAAUGGUAGGAGAGCGUUCUAAGGGCGUUGAAGCAUGAUCGUAAGGACAUGUGGAGCGCUUAGAAGUGAGAAUGCCGGUGUGAGUAGCGAAAGACGGGUGAGAAUCCCGUCCACCGAUUGACUAAGGUUUCCAGAGGAAGGCUCGUCCGCUCUGGGUUAGUCGGGUCCUAAGCUGAGGCCGACAGGCGUAGGCGAUGGAUAACAGGUUGAUAUUCCUGUACCACCUAUAAUCGUUUUAAUCGAUGGGGGGACGCAGUAGGAUAGGCGAAGCGUGCGAUUGGAUUGCACGUCUAAGCAGUAAGGCUGAGUAUUAGGCAAAUCCGGUACUCGUUAAGGCUGAGCUGUGAUGGGGAGAAGACAUUGNGUCUUCGAGUCGUUGAUUUCACACUGCCGAGAAAAGCCUCUAGAUAGAAAAUAGGUGCCCGUACCGCAAACCGACACAGGUAGUCAAGAUGAGAAUUCUAAGGUGAGCGAGCGAACUCUCGUUAAGGAACUCGGCAAAAUGACCCCGUAACUUCGGGAGAAGGGGUGCUCUUUAGGGUUAACGCCCAGAAGAGCCGCAGUGAAUAGGCCCAAGCGACUGUUUAUCAAAAACACAGGUCUCUGCUAAACCGUAAGGUGAUGUAUAGGGGCUGACGCCUGCCCGGUGCUGGAAGGUUAAGAGGAGUGGUUAGCUUCUGCGAAGCUACGAAUCGAAGCCCCAGUAAACGGCGGCCGUAACUAUAACGGUCCUAAGGUAGCGAAAUUCCUUGUCGGGUAAGUUCCGACCCGCACGAAAGGCGUAACGAUUUGGGCACUGUCUCAACGAGAGACUCGGUGAAAUCAUAGUACCUGUGAAGAUGCAGGUUACCCGCGACAGGACGGAAAGACCCCGUGGAGCUUUACUGUAGCCUGAUAUUGAAAUUCGGCACAGCUUGUACAGGAUAGGUAGGAGCCUUUGAAACGUGAGCGCUAGCUUACGUGGAGGCGCUGGUGGGAUACUACCCUAGCUGUGUUGGCUUUCUAACCCGCACCACUUAUCGUGGUGGGAGACAGUGUCAGGCGGGCAGUUUGACUGGGGCGGUCGCCUCCUAAAAGGUAACGGAGGCGCUCAAAGGUUCCCUCAGAAUGGUUGGAAAUCAUUCAUAGAGUGUAAAGGCAUAAGGGAGCUUGACUGCGAGACCUACAAGUCGAGCAGGGUCGAAAGACGGACUUAGUGAUCCGGUGGUUCCGCAUGGAAGGGCCAUCGCUCAACGGAUAAAAGCUACCCCGGGGAUAACAGGCUUAUCUCCCCCAAGAGUUCACAUCGACGGGGAGGUUUGGCACCUCGAUGUCGGCUCAUCGCAUCCUGGGGCUGUAGUCGGUCCCAAGGGUUGGGCUGUUCGCCCAUUAAAGCGGUACGCGAGCUGGGUUCAGAACGUCGUGAGACAGUUCGGUCCCUAUCCGUCGUGGGCGUAGGAAAUUUGAGAGGAGCUGUCCUUAGUACGAGAGGACCGGGAUGGACAUACCUCUGGUGUACCAGUUGUCGUGCCAACGGCAUAGCUGGGUAGCUAUGUGUGGACGGGAUAAGUGCUGAAAGCAUCUAAGCAUGAAGCCCCCCUCAAGAUGAGAUUUCCCAACUUCGGUUAUAAGAUCCCUCAAAGAUGAUGAGGUUAAUAGGUUCGAGGUGGAAGCAUGGUGACAUGUGGAGCUGACGAAUACUAAUCGAUCGAAGACUUAAUCAA
This 2921-nucleotide ribosomal RNA is filed under the name Staphylococcus aureus. RNAcentral describes it as "23S ribosomal RNA". It matches the Rfam family "Bacterial large subunit ribosomal RNA". Lineage: Bacteria; Bacillati; Bacillota; Bacilli; Caryophanales; Staphylococcaceae. The record is from RNAcentral.